This 440-nucleotide ribosomal RNA is filed under the name uncultured bacterium. RNAcentral describes it as "partial 16S ribosomal RNA". It matches the Rfam family "Bacterial small subunit ribosomal RNA", at positions 338 to 795 of the family's 1533-position model. The record is from RNAcentral.
CCUACGGGAGGCAGCAGUGGGGGAUAUUGCACAAUGGGGGGAACCCUGAUGCAGCGACGCCGCGUGGGUGAAGAAGCGCCUCGGCGCGUAAAGCCCUGUCAGCAGGGAAGAAAAUGACGGUACCUGAAGAAGAAGCCCCGGCUAACUACGUGCCAGCAGCCGCGGUAAUACGUAGGGGGCAAGCGUUAUCCGGAUUUACUGGGUGUAAGGGGGGCGCAGACGGGGGUGCAAGCCAGAAGUGAAAGCCCGGGGCCCAACCCCGGGACUGCUGUUGGAACUGCGGGGCUGGAGUGCAGGAGGGGCAGGCGGAAUUCCUGGUGGAGCGGUGAAAUGCGUAGAUAUCAGGAGGAACACCGGUGGCGAAGGCGGCCUGCUGGACUGCAACUGACGUUGAGGCCCGAAAGCGUGGGGAGCAAACAGGAUUAGAUACCCGUGUAGUC